CUUCCGAGAUCACAUUCCUUUUUCAGUGGGUCAGUCUUUAUCGUAGGAGAUGAAACUUUUUUGAAUGCUUUCUCAAGCUCUUCCCUAACUUGCUUUCGAAAAGCCAGCGCCCAAUAGAGCUUAGCCAUGUGUAGGCCGAAAUGGUCUCGCGAAGCCGGUCACCGUCUAAUCACUUGAGAUGCUGGGGGAACAUUGUUCACCGGGAUAGAAGGCUGGUCCCAACCCGUCUACCAAUGUCAUUUCAUGAAGAUGGACACUGGCUUGGGGGCGGGCGCCUAUCCGACAUAUAAUAGGUACAGCCGGUAUAAUAUAAUAUAUUCUUACUAUGAAGAAUCGUUCCACCCUAUUGUCAGCUCUACGGCUGAGAAAGUAUUCCCCGGUAAUCCGAAGAGUUAGGAAGAAAGUCUUCUUAUUGGGCAAACAAGGUACUCUUAUUUUUAAGAAAUCGAUGCCUUUCUUCUUUUCUUUUGAAAAAGCCGUAUUUUCAGUUCACUUCCCCUUUUCUCUGUUGGUCAACAACCAACCCCCUAGUAGAUAUAGAAAGAACCAUCCCAACAAAGCUAGAGGGUGGACCGAUGAUCCAACCCCAUACCGAGAUUCCUUUUGAUAAGUAUGUUACAAUUUCAUCUUUCGCUCGUUCCCUCAAGAGCUAGAUUUAAGGAAGUAGUUAUGUCAGCAAGCUCGAGGUCUAACCUCAUCCUAAAACUACUUCUCCAAGCCGUAGACGGAAGACCAAGAUUCUGAUAAUGAUACAUCCUUAGCUAUGGGAAGAAGUACGAUGCUUUUAGCCAAUUCUACCUCUUAGCGAGGGCUUGACAGAGUUCUCAUAGGGGAUUCCGGUAUAUCGUAUAAAAGAGAAAGGAUUCAUUUAGGAGCGCUCUUUUCAUCCAACUCGAAAUGUCGUAAGUAACAAUAGCGCAAAAGCCAUAGCACAGCUUAUUCUCUUUUCUUUUGAUUUAUGCUGCAUCAGUCCCAUAGAAUGGCGCUACAAGAUCAACAAUUCCAUAAGCUUGGGCUUCUGUUGCUGACAUAAAAACAUCUCUUUNNNNNNNNNNNNNNNNNNNNNNNNNNNNNNNNNNNNNNNNNNNNNNNNNNNNNNNNNNNNNNNNNNNNNNNNNNNNNNNNNNNNNNNNNNNNNNNNNNNNNNNNNNNNNNNNNNNNNNNNNNNNNNNNNNNNNNNNNNNNNNNNNNNNNNNNNNNNNNNNNNNUAAACCCUUGUGAGGGUUUCACGCAGUUUCAGCAGUUCUUCCGCUUCCAAGACAAAUUCGCCUGUUUGUGCCUCAUAAAAAGAACUAGCAGGUUGAUGUUUUUCCAUUUAAUCACUGACAAAACCUACCUUUCAAUUCGACUUUAUGAUGUCGAUGGCCCGAGGUAGAGCACUCAAUGGGCUAGGGUGGCCUCAUUUCGCCUUACCNNNNNNNNNNNNNNNNNNNNNNNNNNNNNNNNNNNNNNNNNNNNNNNNNNNNNNNNNNNNNNNNNNNNNNNNNNNNNNNNNNNNNNNNNNNNNNNNNNNNNNNNNNNNNNNNNNNNNNNNNNNNNNNNNNNNNNNNNNNNNNNNNNNNNNNNNNNNNNNNNNNNNNNNNNNNNNNNNNNNNNNNNNNNNNNNNNNNNNNNNNNNNNNNNNNNNNNNNNNNNNNNNNNNNNNAGUAUCUAUUUUUUUUCCAUGUUAUAUGAAGAUCUUCAUCGUAUUCUGGGCCGGAGCAAUGAACCUAUUUGAAGUGGCCCAUUUCGUACCAGCACUAGGCCCAAUGUGAGUUGGAUCACUUAGCCACGCUUCAUAAUUAGAAAAACGAGCACCGNNNNNNNNNNNNNNNNNNNNNNNNNNNNNNNNNNNNNNNNNNNNNNNNNNNNNNNNNNNNNNNNNNNNNNNNNNNNNNNNNNNNNNNNNNNNNNNNNNNNNNNNNNNNNNNNNNNNNNNNNNNNNNNNNNNNNNNNNNNNNNNNNNNNNNNNNNNNNNNNNNNNNNNNNNNNNNNNNNNNNNNNNNNNNNNNNNNNNNNNNNNNNNNNNNNNNNNNNNNNNNNNNNNNNNNNNNNNNNNNNNNNNNNNNNNNNNNNNNNNNNNNNNNNNNNNNNNNNNNNNNNNNNNNNNNNNNNNNNNNNNNNNNNNNNNNNNNNNNNNNNNNNNNNNNNNNNNNNNNNNNNNNNNNNNNNNNNNNNNNNNNNNNNNNNNNNNNNNNNNNNNNNNNNNNNNNNNNNNNNNNNNNNNNNNNNNNNNNNNNNNNNNNNNNNNNNNNNNNNNNNAAUUGUCGAAACAAGAACUUUAUGUGAGAGUUGAAGCCCCAAAAGGAGAAUUGGGAAUUUUUCUCAUAGGAGAUCAGAGCGUUUUUCCUUGGAGAUAUUUAGUGUAUUUGAUGCUACAAGUCUUUUGUCCUAAUAGAUGAGAGAUGACGGAAGGUGAGGUGUGACAUGGUUGUGGCAUCUAACGAGGGACCCGUAUGGACAUUGUUGCGUGUGAAGUGUCCAAAGUAUGGGGACGAGGGGGACCAAUUCCUUUUGCCCUGGCAUCACACGUGGCCAGCUUCGUUGGCAUCUCUUGCCAGCUAUACUAAUGGAGUGACUCUAUUGAACUAAAUAUCUUUUUUAAUUGGCGUAAUAUAUUUGGAGAUAUCUAAAGUUGUCACAAUUUUUCACUUAGAUAUUUAAAUUAGGUUUUUUUUUUCCAGACUAAUGGAGUGACAUCGAAAUAAAUGUAAUAAUGCACAAUUCCGUGGGAUUGAUAAUGAACUGUCUCUUUAAUUUUCUUCACUUAAAUAUUACCCCCAUAAGUUUUUAAUUAUGGCAGACACGCACAUAAUCCACAUAUUACAUCUUGCCUCUUUCCACUAGACUACUGUUUGAGCAAAAAAGUGCUAAGUCUUUUAACUAGAUCAAUUAAUAAUAAAUUAAAUGAUAAAUUUUAAUUAAAUUUAAUAAAUUUUUGAUCAAAUAAAAUAAAACACUCGUGAGAUAAGUACUUCUCAAAAAUAUUAAAUAAUUAAUUCAAUACUUUAUGAUUGACAAUAAAUAUGAAAACAUAAAUGUAUAAUAAAUAUAAAUAAUGGCAAUGAGUAUAACAAGAAAGGAUUUAAAAGGAUAUAUCACCGAAUUAUUGUAUGAUUGGCGUGUUCCUUUCUUCUGCCAGACGACGUAGAAAAGAGGGAAAUAAAUAUGAAUGCGGAAUUUUUAGAUUUCGUGAACAAAAUUAAACAACGUGUGCUUGAAUCAUAUAAUCAAUGAACAAGAAACUUUUUGAUAUUCUCUUUUGUCAACCUUUAUCAUGGGUUCUUAUCAAAAAGUUAAGAUCUCCUUUUGUUCACUAUUUCUUCGUAUUUACAAGGAAUAUAUCCCAAAAAUUCUAAAAAGUACAACUUAAAAAAUAUCCAAAUGUCUUUAUGUGUAUCUUUGAACCUAUUUUACUGUUGUUUCUUCAUCUCGGCUAUCCAUUUCUGGCACCAGCCUUUUAAAGAGAAACCUUCAUUCAUCACACCAGAUCAACCAUAUCCUUUGUCUUAUUUAUCUGUUACUGUCGAGUUGCUAAAUUUGGACAUAUACAGUUAGUCCUUCCGCUUGUUGAGGUCGUGGUCCUGCACACCCACGAUAAGUGGACAUGACUUUCCAUUCUUGGACAUCAAAUAAGUCCUUUUUAUGCAAUAUGUAAGACUUCAUAGGCUGCAAAUUUGGACACAUUUUAGGUGUUACAUUGGUCCAACAGUGGCCUGAUUUGGACCUUCUUCGGAGGAUGUUUCUUGGGAUCUAAUCCAUCACUUAUUGGACAUGAAUUUGGGCUAUAAAAUAAUUAUAACAUCUAAAUAACUCAUACUCUUUAUCAUUAAGCUUUUCCGCCCAACUAGCUUCUUUGAUCGUUCUUGAAGUCCAAUGACCUUGUUUUGAAAUUUUUUGGCUUGAGACAUAGUUAAAGCCCCCGUCGAGAUUCCAAAGUUUCGUCAUUUCCUUUGAAUAGAUUUGAGCUUCCUAGGAUGUUCUCAUUCCCCUCUUCUUGAAGAAAUUUCGUCUCCGAAUUUUGUCCUUGCAAGAAAACGAAGACAGGCACUAGUAAAUGACAUCCACUAAUUUGAAUAAAAUAAGAUAGUGACCAUGUGUCCACUUAACCUAAUUAUUUCUGAUAGGGGUAAAUACUCCUUUUAAAGCAUAUGGACAUCAUUAUACUAAUAAAAUUUAUGCCUAUUUAUAUUUGUGCCAUAAAAUCUCUCUUAAGAUAGUCAAAUGAUGUGUAUGAUAUUGAAUUACAAAAGAUUGAUCACUCAUCCAUUUAAAACGAGUAUCUCUACCACAUCUAUCAAAUGAGACACUUUUAUGAUAUAGCCAAGCAUCAAUUAAAAAUCUCAUGGAUUCUUCUACAUAUAAGCUAUUCAAAAAAGCACAUAAAAUCUCAAGAAGGAUAGAAGAACCAUAAUUCUCAAAAUAAAAGUUUCAAAAAUACAUCCAAGCUCAUGAUUAUACCUUUCCCAAAUAAUAUUCUCAAUAUCAAAGCAUUCUAAAUAAUUUCUCCAAUUGUCACAAAAAGAGUCAUAGAUAAGCUCAUGAAAAAGUAUUUGGUCACUAACGUCACAAUAAUCAUGUAGAGCCUCUUUACUAGUAGCAAACACUUUUACAAGUUCACAGUCAACAUGACUUAAAGAAUAACUCUCCAUCACACAACAAAAAUUAUGUUCCAGCAAUUUAUCACACUAAAACUCAUUAGACACUUGAAUAAGAGAAGAAGAAAUAUUUUACUCAUUCACAAGCAUCUUCUCAUAAAAUUCAAGCCUCUUUCCAUCGAGUUGGAAUAUAUAAUGAUAUAUGCCAUACUCAAUUUCAAAAGAAAAUAAUUUAGUCUUGUACUUGAACUUAGCUAUUACAAUUAACGAUUUGAUAUACAUCAAAAUAUCAUCAUUCACCAAAAUUAUAAAGUCACCAACAUAAGAAAUUAGAGUAUAGUUCAUUACCUCUUUAAAUGCCUUAGGUAUCCUAGAAAGGCUAAGAAUUCGAAUAAACAAAUUAUACAUAUCAUGUUUGAAUUUAUUUACCUAUGGAACAUCAUCACCUUGUAUUCUUUUAUGUAAUGGCUCCAACUUAGCAAUGCUUUUAAGAUUUCCAUGUCAUAAACCUGUAAAUAAGGAUCAAAAUAGUCAAAAAGAUUCAACAAUAAAUAAAUUAAUCAAACGUUUAUCUUUCACCAUCCAAUAAGAAUUGAUUUCGCCUAAUUCAUGUUAGAAUCCAAUAGGAUCAUUUGCCACCAUCUCUUGCACCUCACCCAUCCUUUUAGAAGGUCUUUCAACAUGUGGCUGCACAAAAACACAAGGACUCAAGAAAACUUUAAUGGGUUAGGAAGUAAAGAACAUAUUUCUUACUUACACUUUCUUUGGCUUUUAUUUCAAGGCUAAAUUUUUCCUCACCCUUAGCUUCUUUUCUCUCACUAAAGUUUUCUUCUUUUUCGUUACUCAAACCCUCAUGUUUUUAUCUCUCUGCCUUAUAUACUUUUGUUAUCUCAUUGCCUUUCCUCUUUUCUGUUCCCUCAAGCUCACUCUUUUUAUCACUUGAAACCACAUUCUCUUCACUCAACACUACCUCUCCUUUUUUCUUUCUUGGGAUAUCCGUCAACAUGCACUCCCUUACUCCUCUCAUUCUUAUCUCUAUUAUAUUUUUCAUAUUUUCUUUAACAAUAUUUUUAUCUUAGCAAAUUUAUAGGGCGUCAAAGGUCCAAGAAUGAGUUUCUUUUCGUUAAUCUCAAAAGAGUAUCUAUUUUUUUUCCAUGUUAUAUGAAGCUCUUCUAUAGUCAUACCAUGGCUUUCCCAACAAGAUAUGAUAAUUAUUCAUGAGAAUCUCAUCACACCAAAUACAUCGUCAUACAUUUCCAUAGAGAACAGUAAUAACACUCUUUUAUCUAUCUUUACUCCUCCCAACAUGUAGGGUUCAAUAUGCUGAACAUAAGGCAAAUUCAAUUUCUCAACCAUAUAAGUGCUAAUUGAGUUAUAGACAAACUUUUUAUCAAUUCUAAGGGCAUAAAUCGCAGGCAUCACUUUAGCUCUUGUUUGAAAAAUAACUUUACCGUUGUCUUCCUUCCAUUCAGCAUUUUGUAUGUUUGACUUUUUUAAUUGUUAAGUCAUAGUUCGCUCUUUCUUCAUAACUACCUAUUUGAAACAUCUCGAACAAAGAUUAGAAAAAAUAUGUAUAUCUUAAAUUUGGCUUUUUCCUUCUAAGAUUCUCACUUCUCUUGCAUUUUUCCACUCUAAGCAACUCUUGAUCAUUAAUCUUUGGAUUUAUUAAUAAAAUCUUACUAGUCACAAACUUUAGUGAUAAUUUAUGGAGUUUGAAAAAUAAAAGGAAAGUGAUGGACCAAACCUAACAAGAACAAGGAUAAAAAUGAAAGAAUUUAUGAAUCCCAAAACCUAAAAGAAUAAGGAAAGAAGUUACCUUAAACUUCAAAAACUAUGUUCUUAUCUUUUUGUCUCCUUUUUAGACUUGAAAAUCAAAUAAUACUUGAAUUCUAAACAUAACAAUAAGCCAUAACACGUUUGGAGCUAAUUUUUUUUUUUUUGUUUUUUUUUGUUUUGUUUCUCAAGAACCUCCCAAGAUUAUCAAGAUUGAAAUUUUGAUUAGCCAAUGCUCUGAUACCACUUGAUAACAAACAUGAUAGGCUCCAAGAACUACUAAAUAAAAACAAGAAAAUCAAGAAUUGCGCAGAAGCUAAAAGAAAAUAAAGAAACAAAAAAAGAACAGAAAAUUAAAGAUAGAUUGAAUUCAAGAAAGAGUUUCUUGAAUUCAAGAAUUCUAGUCUUGAAGUUGAAUCCUAGCAACAACAAUUAGCUAACGAAUAACUAAUCUCCUUUGAGAGAGAAUUAAAAAUAAGAGAUAAAUUGUGAAACCCGACCCUUUAGAAUAACAAGAACAACAAUAAGCCUAAACUUAUCACCUUUUUUGAAUAUCUAGAAGUUAUCUAAGAUGUCUAAAGAGUUUAAUCUUAUCACUUAAGUUGAAUCUUGAAGGUUGAAGAAUAAAUCCAAGAGUAGCUACUCAAAAGAGUGCAAAAAAAAAUCUCACAAUUUUAUUGAUAAUAUUCUGAAUAAUCUAAGUCUUAAAAAAAAAAAGAAGAAGACACCCCAUUUUUGUAAAGAGGGGCUCAUGAAAUUGUACCUAACAAAUAAUAAAUAAAGUGUUAAACUACUUUGGACAACAAGUCCAACUACCUUAGGAAAAGAAAAAUACUAGAAAGAAAAAAUCAAGUCAUUCUUGAAAAGUAAUUCCAACAAUUUUAGGAAAAAGAAAAUAUAGCCUUAACUAACUAGGAAAAAAUAAAUAUGGUCCCAAAAUAUAUGGAAAUAAGUCCCAAAUCAAUCUUGGAUAGAAUGAUGAAAAUCUUGAAAAUCUUAAAGGAAUUUUGCAAGCAACUUGACACUAACUUGCACCAACAUCUAGCAUGACUAUUGUACCAUUUUUGGAUAUAAAAUAAGUUCUUUUUAUGCCAUAAAAUGUGGCUUUAUGUAGGACUUUAUAGGAUGCAAAUUUGGACACAUUUUAGGUGUUAAAUUGGUCCAACGGUGGGCUGAUUUGGACCUUCUUCAGAGGAUCUUUCUUGGGAUCUAAUCCUUCUCUUAUUGGACAUGAAUUUGAGCCAUAAAAUAAUUAUAACACCUAAAUAAUCAAUAUCCUUUAUCCUUAAACUCUUCCGCCCAAUUAACUUCUUUGAUCGUUCCUGAAGUUCAAUGACCUUGUGUUGUAACUUUUUAGCUUGAGAUCUUGUUAAAGGCCUUCUUCGAGAUUACAAAGCUUCAUCCUUGUCCUUGAAUAGAUUUGAAGUUCCUAGGAUUCUAUCAUAAUAUCCCUUCUCAAGUUUAGAUAGUUCCGGCUGGUGGCGACAUCGUGGAGGUCCAUCGACCUUGGUACUGUGCCUUUUAUGUCUACCCUUUCUUAAUUAGUUAUACUCUCCCUCUUUUCCAUUUGGCAGAGGAAUUUUGCUGUAUUUUACAACGUUUGCCCGGCAUAUCUAUUCCCGUAUUUGUAUAAAUCUUUCCCAAUGCUAACAAAGUAUGCAAAAUUGGCCGGUUGCGAGGUCGGUAUCCGCCACCUAUUACACUUGUUUUCACCAAGUUUUUACAGAGGCAGUGUGAUACACUUGCGAUAUUGCGGGACUAGAGGGCUGAUAGUUGGAAUGAUAACAGGAGGAAUCAUAGGUUUUGGCACAAGUACUUGUUUAUCAAAAUCGAACACUUGGUAUCAGACCCUGCUGGGUUUCCCGAGUAAUGGAGCCAUAAUCGUAGGUGUUAUUGGCAUAAUUUUAUUUUCUUCGUUUCGUCCUUUAAUUUUUCAUUCAUUUGUGGUUUCUUUGUUUUAUUAAACUGAGAGGCGUGCACCCUUCCCUUUCAUCGUCAUUGAAGACUGGAUGGCUCGCGUGUUACCUCACAUGGCAUAUUCAAGAUUGGGCGGUUUUCUACUAAAGUUUUGGGCCGAAGGUCCCGUCUAGUAAGUGUUACUUUUGUUUCGGCCUUCUAUUGUUUACGUUGUUUUUUGAUACAACUGCUUUAUGGUGAAAGCUUGAUGGGCUUCCAAAAAGAAAGCUCCAGUGCGGGUAUAUUCACCAUGCUAUUGUAUCGACAGGGAUGUAAUUUACUUUGGUUGAGUAUGUCCGCAGAGGUCAUAAUCAAGCUCUGUUAGCUAUGGAUUCUCCUCCUCAGAAUGCUACUGUACCGGAUGAGAUCUCUUCCCGACUUAUCUACCACCUUGUAGAUGAGUCGUCUAAUGGAGAGGAGUCGUCAUUGAGAAAAAGGUAAAGAAUGGAACUUAGGAAGACCCUCGCCACUAGUGUUGAAACGAGGAAGGCCAUUGCCUCGAGGGCGGUGUCCGCGCUUUGCCAGAAGCUAGGGGUGUUUUUAUGGUGGAUGCUACUAUAUAGGGAAGGUCCCCUAGCGCCGAGGGGUACAUCAAGGAAGGGAGCCUAUACGGGCUGCUGAAGGUGGCGCGUCAUCGGUGGCCGAGGAGGUGGAGCUCUACUCAGAGAGGAUGAUGCUUCAGGCUCGAACAUCAAUCUUGAAGAGGUCCAGGCCUUUUUGGAGAGAAACACCCGUGUGGAAGUGAGGACAGAGGGUCCUAAUCGACAUAUAAUCAUUCAUGUGGGUUAUGAACUUUUGGCUAACCCUGAACAGGCAGUGUCGUCUUUCGCUCGCUUGUCUGUUGCUUCUGAGAACGCAGCGCUUCAGACGAUGCGUGAUGCAGAGCUAUUGCUGAGUAUUUCUGGCAUGGCUUUGUGGGUAAGUAUUUUUUAAUGUUAGGAUUUGUUUCACCCGUGUAAUCUGCUUAUGCUAACUUCUUUCUUUUGCAUCAGACUCUCACUAUGGGUAUCGAGCGUGACCGGCGGUAUAAGCGGAGGAUGACCUUUUUCAAGAAGAUGUCCUCCAAGUACAAAGAAUACCGAACCAAGAACCGAGCACUGACCGACGUCUUUACCCAAGAUAGCAAUUUUUAGCUAUUUCAUGAUAGGCUCAGACAAAACGAGAAGGAGUUGGUAGGGAACGAUGAGGAGAUGAAAGAGCGGGAUUACGAGCUGAUAAAAGCAAUAGUCAUUGCAACGAAGGCAACUCUUAAGGCCAAGGAGGAUGAGAUCGAGAUGAGCAAGUGGGUGAUGGCUGAGAACGUCAACCUUCAAGUGCGAGUGGAUUCCUUAACUGCUGAGCUUGGUUGGAUAAAAAUGGAGGCCGUUGAUCUAAGAGGCGAGUUGUGCGUUAAGGUAGAGGAAUUGGCUCAUGCCGAAAAGGACAGGAUGGCUGCCAUGUCCGAAGUAGCGGCCUUAGGUGACACUUUCCUAUUUGAUGUUCCGAGCAGGAUAAUGAGUUGGAGAUGUUAGCCCUCAAGGUAGCGAGGUUAGAAGAGCAGAUCUAGGAUCUGUAGGCGGAGUUGUCUAGAUUAAACAAAUAGGUUGUUGCUAUGAAGACUGAGGAAACACAAUGGAUUCAUAGCCGUCUAUGUCUCAAACAUAAGUUGAUCCCGUCAUACCGUGGGAGUUUUAUGAGAUGUGGAUUAAUUACGAGGCUCAACUUGAUGUGUAUUAGUCCCUGAAAAUCGACGGGAAAGUUUUCGAGGUAGAGCUUGAGGGUGUCGGUGUUAAAACCCGUGCAACCCGUGCAACCCAUGAAGCCUGCGAUUAUGACCCCGGUACGCCUGGUGGGGGCGAUGUUGAUGAUAAUGCAGAUAGGCUCGCCUUCAACUCUUGGUAUAAUGAUGAGUACGCCGAAGGGGAUGACGCGUCGUAGGUCCGUUGUACUUAAUUUUGUUUGCCCCUGCUAUUUCUGUGAGGGCGUCUUUAGGCCCUUUGAAAAAAGGUUUUGUAAUAUGACAGUUAUAAUGGAAUGAUUACCUUUUGCUAUGUAUUUCUGUACUGUUGUUGUCUUUUUGUUUGUUAUGCGGUGAAGUUUGACUUAUUUGGGUCGCUUAUAUUUAGUGUUUUGGUGUAUUUGGUCGUAGACCUUAAAGUGACUCGAGUGAGGUCGAAUUGUAAAGUGAUUCGAACGAGGUCGAAUAUAUGGCGAUUCGAAUGAGGUUAAAUGUAAAAUAAUUCCAGCAAGGUCGAAUGCAUGAUAAUUCGAGUGUCCGGGCUAUAUAGAUGCUAUGGAAUGAAUACAAAUGAUAUCGUGCUUUGAAGUCUGAGUAAUACCCAAGGAAUUAAGCCGGGAUCAUAUUCAGGGAUCAAUGGAUGAUAAAGCAAUGAAGCGAAGAAUCGAGUAGGCAUAUUGUGCACUAUCUAUUAAAAUGCACAUAACUUUUUGCUCAACAAUGAGGUCUAACUCAAAGGGCUACAAUUUCAUAUUUUACAUUUUUCCAAAUUCCAAAUAGAACAAGGUGAAAAAUCCAUGAAAUAGUAGACUUGCCAAAUAGUGCGUCUGGGCCGGGACGGUGGAUUUCCAGGCCUGGAAACUUAUCCUUUUUCGCGUAGGAGAAGGUAUAAUUAUUUGGUCCCGACCCUACUUGGUAUAAAUACAUGGAGAAAUUGUAUUUUGAGGGGGUUGGACAUACUUUUGACACAGAUUCGACCUAAGGAGGCAGAGAUACAAUAUGAGCAAGGCGGAGAAUUCUUCUACGCGUUUUUCCUUCCUUUUCCAAUUUUUUCAUUGUUGGUUAUGACUUUUUAGUUUUACAUACUAGUAUGAAUAUCUAAUUUUUUUAGGAUUUUGAUGGAACCUUUUGUAGGAUAAAUUCUUGUUUUGUUUUUAUAUAAUUGAACCGUUGAAUGUCUCUACUUGUUCAACUACGAGUUUAUUAUUGCUGAUUGAAUGGACAUCGAUUGAUUGUGCCUAUUUAUUAUGUAUUGCUUGAGAAAUAAUACAUAUUUAGGUGAUUUUUGAACAACUUCAAUCCUAACGUAUGUGAGAAAUCAAUAUAGCGAGUUUAAAGGUAGGUUUAGAAAUAACAAAGGCUUGACGUGGUCAUAACGAGCAAUUAGAUAAAGCCAACUAGCAUAGUUCAAAAAAAUAUGUCUAGUAAAUUAUUUUAAUUGCUCGAGAGAGAAUUACGAUACCUAAAAAUGCUCAUGAUCAGUAGAGAAUAUAUAGGCGAAAAAUGUAGGGGGAAGGAUUCCAACAUUUCGAGAAAUCAUAACUCUAGACCUUUUUAGUUUUAUCUCAACUUUCAUCAUUGUUAGUUGAUAAUUUUACUGCUUUAUAAUAGUGUUAGCUAAUUAGUUAGAAAUAAAUAUUAUAAUCUCUAUAAUUAAAAAUUAUUUGAACUUGUGAUUCUUAGCAAAUAUUGAACAGCUGCAGCGAAGUAUUAGUUCUCGGUAGGAUUCGAUUUUGGACUUAUAGACCUGUUAGUUUGUAUGAGUCCACCAAAUAGUAGAUUACCUAGUCCUCUAUGAGGUUAUGCUGAGAAUGAUAAUAAAUCUGUAAGUAAAUAAGACAAGGAUUUUUACGUGGAAAUAUCCCAACUCAAGGGGACAAAAAACCAUGACCAAUACCUGUAGGCUUUCAACUUCAUUAACUUGUAAACACCUAUUACGAGCCACUUUGUAAUGACUCAAUUACAAAGAAUUCAACUCAACUAACUUGUGGUACUCUUAACACUAGCCACUUUGUGACUCCCUAAUCACAAAGACUUUAUCUAACUUGUGAUGCUCUCACUACAAGCCACUUUGUCAUUCUAUAGUAACAAAGACUUUUACUUAUGACUAAACCUAGUCACAACAUAAACUCAAAGAGUUUACAGAUUUUACAAAAGGGUUCCCAAUCAAUCCUUCUGUCUAAGAAAUUUAGGAGAUACAAUGAGUACAAUCAUAAAGUUAUAACUCAACUAAGGACAACAAUAUACUGACUUUAGAAACUUGUCCAUUAUAGCGUUCAACUUUUUUCAUCAAGAUCAUGAGAAUUAAUUUCUCUAUUUUUGCAAAAAGGCUUGAAUGAGAAAUUGAAACAUUCAAGUGAUGUUUUGAUAUAAAUUCAUUGUUGAUACACUUUGAUGACAUCACUUGAAAUGAUGUGAGCACAUUAGUUGGUCAAGGAAUAAGUGGGCACUGAAAACCAGUGCGGCAGAAACACUGUAGGUGGUCGCAUUGCUUCUAGCUGUGUCCAAUUGAAUUUGUGUUGCUAUGAGGGAACCACAAGGUAUCAUGUCCUUGUUUGGUUUCUUAUCUCCUGAAGCUAUAGCAGUUCACAUUUAGCUGGAAUCUGUUAACUUGCAGUGUAGUCCAAACGUGUCAGGUUCCUUAUUUGGUCCUUGACCUUAAGUUUGUUAGAUCAUCAAAACAUAAGGCAAAUACAUUGAAAACCUUUUUUUAUGAUGACAAACUUCACAUUUAUAACAUGGAUUUAGAGCAAGUAGAACCAAAUUCAAUAACAGGAGAACACAAGUUCCCCUGACUUUAUGCUUUCCUUAUUUCUUAUUAUUUCUACACCGUAUUUAUUCCCCCUUUUGGUAUCAUAAAAAAAAAGACACAAACAUGUGAAUAUCAUAAAGAAGUCUAGUCGAGGUAACUCAUGCCACAUAUGUGCACACAAAUGUGAUAGAGAAGAGAAACAUAGAAUUGAAGCAAUUAGAUAAUAAAAGAGGAUAGAUUUAAUACUAAUAAAAUUUAAUAUGCCUUUGCUUAAAAAGAAAAAGGCAACAUUGGACUGUUAAAAUGGGAGCAAUAUUGUUUCAUCCCAACCAUGUAAAAAAAAAAAGAAAACAAAGCAUCUACCAAAACCAAAAGAACUUAAAGGACAUUUCUAGAAAUUGGUUAUUGAAGGGCUAGGGGCAAUAGGAGUAGAAGGCUUGGAGAAUGUAGCAUGUGUUUGGAGACAAGGUCUAUUCGGGCAUUGGACGACUUUUGCUCAUUGAGCAGUUGUGCUUUCAGGUUCUCUACUUGCUCAUUGAGAUCAUCAUUCUCUUUUGUCAAACGAGCUACUUCAUCAUUUGACGCUAGAACCCCUUGGGCUUGCUGACCUUCCAGGAUAGCAUUCCUAACAUUCAAUCGACAAAUAUCCUCAAUUUCACUAUUUUGCGAAUUAAUUAGCUGUGAGACAGUUGAUGUAAUUCCUACUCCCCCAUUAUUCUCUAGGCACUCUCAUUCUUCCAAUGUCUUCCGUGAGAAAGUCUGCUUCUUAGUCCCCACCUUGCCUUGCCCCAAUGGCACCUCAAAGAACUUAAACACUUGCGUAAGCAAUAACCCGUAGGGAAGGCCAUGACUACCAUAUUUGAAGGUCGCUACCUUUUACAUGUGUUCAAUCAUAAUAGCAUGCAGGAUUAUAGGAAUAAAGCUAUCCAGUUGCUCCAUCAAGAACAUGUCAGACUUAGAAGUCACUGACGUUCUCUCAGCUCGAGGUAGUAGAACUUUGUGUACCAAUUCGAACAAUAGCUGAUAGACAUGGAGUAACGCCUUCUUGUGGAUUUGGUCCCCCUUUUGGUUUGCAUUGUCUUUUACCACGACAUUUCUGAAUUUAAACUAACACACAUACUUUACACUGGACACAUCAACUGUAGGAAUUAUAAGAAUUUCUCCAAGCAACUUUACAUCGAAUACGAUAUCUAUUCCACGGGAAAGAGGCUAGCAAAAAAGUUUUGUACCUCAUCCUCAUAUGCCUUAGGUGCAUAUAUUUGGAAUUGAUGCACCCAUCUUUCAAACUCAACCAUUUUAAUAAUUUGUCGCAUACCAGCCAUCUUAGAGAUUGCUGGGGUUCAUCUGGUGUUUCAUUUUCCACCUUUACCACAGGGAUUGCCUUAUCACUUACGGGCACACUAUCUUUCACCAGCUUCCUCAUUUGCUUCUUACUACUUUUUCGGCUCUUGUGAAAGGUAGAGUCAUAGGCCACCUUAGCUUGCAACCUAGUAGUAGGUUGGUUGGUGGAAGACUCAGGAGUGGACACAACCCUGCGCUUAACUAUGAACGCAUCGAGAGCCAGGUUAUCUUGAUCCUCCACAUAAUUAGACCGCAUUUCAAGAGCUUGAAUGUCCAGAGGUGCAAUAUUAAAUGCAGGAGCAGAACUGUCAUGGGAAUGAGAACAUUGACCUGGAUCUACUGAACAGGGAUCAGGUUCCUCAUAUGAGAUCUUAGUAGUUUCCACCAGUGCAAUGUCCUCAACUUGCACUAUAGCUCCUUUUUCCCCCACACCCUGUACCUCAUUUUCCUAAGUGAUUAUCUCCUAAAUGACACCAUUAACAGACACCAUGAAGAUGGUUACAAUAUUUUCUUUCACAAUCAACACUACUGCUACCAUGAAAUUUGCAGCAACAAUGGCAGAACCCUUUAUGACUUCAUGACCUUGACUUUGUUCUCCAUUUAUUAUUUGAUUAGUGGUAUCUCAGAAGAUAUAGAUGACAUAUUAGUACUUUUUGUGUUUUAUAAAAUGGAAAGAGACGGAGAGUUUAGGUGAGGUGUGAUUUCAGCACGGAGAGUAGGAGUGGUUAUACAAGACUCAGAAGGGACAAAGGACUCCAUGGGUUUUUCAAUGAUAGGUAUGACUGAGAUAGGGAGGUUUGAGUUUGUAUCAGCCAUGGAAAGAUGGAGUAAAGGUGCUUUUGGAAGUUAUAAUGUAUGACAUAUGAUUUGUGGAGAAUAGAGAGGGGUUUUAUUAAGAAUGGAUAAUUAUGAAGAGAGAGAUAGGGACUGGUUCUGAAACGGAGGUUGGGCGUGGUGAAGUGCAAUAUUUCAGAGGGAGAUGGAAUAAUUUGAGUGAAGAGACUUGACAGCAGAGUCUGAAAAGUUGGAUGACAUGGCAGUUGUGUUUCGUACCUUUUUAAGACGUGUAUUAAAGGAUGCACAGAACUACUAAACUUUGGUAGAAGAACCAGGUUCUUGACAUGUUAUUUGAAAGUAUCAAUCUUCUUUUAUCAUCCAUACAAUAUAUCUACAACUUCUAUACUCAUCAUGCGUUUUUACCUGCAAAGGUAUUGAAAUGAGUUAGAUAUGGGCAGAAAAUAUUUUUAGCUAGUUUGACUGAAGGUGACUCCCCGUCCAAAUGAUGAGGAAUCGUGUUCUCAAUUGGGCUUUAAAAGCCCCAACUUCACUAUGUUUCUUUCAAAAUGUUUCCUACUUAAUGCCUUGGUUAAGAUGCCUGGAAUUUGGUCUUCUGUGCUACAGAACUUCAUGCAUAUCAAUCCUUUCUCUACAUUGUCCCUUAGAAAGUGACGUCUCACAUCAAUAUGCUUGGUUCUUUUGUGUUGAACAGGAUUCUUGGCCAUGUUUAGUGCACUAGUGUUAUCACAUAGAAGGGAAACACUCUUAGUGAGUACCCCAAAAUCCUCUAGUUGCUUUUUAAUUCAUAAAAUUUGAGCACAGCAGGAUGCUGUGGCUAGAUAUUCUGCUUCAGCUGUUGAAAGAUACACUGAGUUUUGCUUCUUUGUGCCCCAAGAGAUGAGACAUGAACCUAGAAAGUGAGCCAUUAUAGAAGUGCUUUUCUUGUCCACAAGAUAACCUGCAUAGUAUAUAUCAUCAUAUCCAAUGAGAUUAAAACUUUCAUAUGAGGGAUAAUAAAGAAACAGGUCAUGUGUUCCUUUAAGAUACCUCAGUAUUCUUUUAGCAUCCUUCAAAUGAGAUUCCUUGAGAUUUGAUUGAAACCUUGCACAUAGCCCACAUUGAAGAUAAUAUCAGGUCUGCUGGCAGUGAGACAGAGAAGCGACCCAAUAAUGCCUCUAUUCAUGGUCUAAUUCACAGGAGGCCUAGUUUUAUCCAUGUCCAGUCGAGUGGCCGUAGCAAUGGGAGUGUCUUUCAUCUUUGAUGCUUCCAUGUCAAACCUCUUCAAGAGCUCUUUGAUUAUUUUUUCUAACAAAAUAAAUGUACCUUUUGGGGACUGUUUUACUAGAAGACCCAAGAAGAAGUUCAGUUCCCCCAUCAUGCUCAUUUCAAACUCAUUUCCCAUGAGUUUUGCAAAUUCUUCACACAGAGAAUCAGCUGAUGUCCCAAAAAUGAUAUCAUCAAAAUAGACUUGAAUAGUGAGCAGUUUCCUUCCCCAUUUUUUAGGAAUAAAGUGUUGUCAAUUUUCCCUCUUUUGAAUCCUUUUUCCAAGAUGAACUUUGGCAGCCUUUCAUACCAAGAUCGAGGAGCUUGCUUCAGCCCAUACAAUGCUUUGUCUAGUUAAACACAUAUUCAGGGUUUUCAUAACAUUCAAACCUUGGAGGUUGCUUCAUGUAGACUUUUUUCUUAAGAACAUUCAGAAAUGCACUUUUGACAUCCAUUUGGAACAAGGUAAAUUCCAUAUGAGAUAAAAAAUGAUUAGAAUUCUAAUAGCUUCCGUGAGCGAUCGGAGCAAAUGUUUCUUCACAGUCAAUCCCUUCCUCCUAAUUGUAGCCUUGAACCAUAGCCUGGAUUUAUUCAUUGUGUAUUUCCAUGUUCAUCAAGCUUGUUUCAUAAUACCACCUGGUUCCCGUAAAGGUUCAAUCUAAGGGUCUGGGUACUAGGUGCCAAACAUUGUUACUUUCAAAGUGAUGUUACUCGUCUUGCAUGACUGCAAUCCAAUCUGCAUAUUUCAAGGCUUCCUUGAUAUUCUUGGGUUCUAUUUGGGAGUGAAAGGCUGACAAUGCAAGCGAAUUUCUAGCUUUUGACUUGGUUUGUACUCCAAAAUCUAGAAGGGUAAUAAUGUUGUUAAGAGGAUGAGAGCUUUUGUUUCUCCAGUUAGAUGUCUGAGGUUCAUUUAGAGAGAACGUGGGUACAUUUGACUGGCUUUCCUGUGUUCUUCUCUCAGGUGCUAGUGGAGCACCCUGAACUACAUCAACCACUCUUUUUCAGCUUCAAUGGUUAUAAUUGAAAUACCUGGUUCCAUUGAAGAUGAGAUAGUAUUGUCUUCACUUAGCUCUUUUACUUGGCUCAUCAUAUCUGCCUUUUCAUUUGUCAUGUCAAUGACUUCACCAGGGACUAGUAAGGGUUUCUUAUCAUGAUCUUCUUUAGCACUCUUCUCACAAGAUGGAUAAGACUCAUAAAAAAUAACAUGAACACUUCCCUUAACACAUUGAGUCCCCUUAUUAUACAUCUUGUAAGCUUUGCUUUGAGAAGAGUAGCCCAUAAAUAUUCCUUCAUCACUCUUGGCGUCGAAUUUACUGGGCUGGUCCUUUCCAUUAUUGAGAACAUAGCAUUUGUACCCAAAUGUUCCUAGGUGAGUCAGAUUGGGUUUCCUUCCAUUUAAAAACUCAUAUGGGGUUUUGUUCAGGAGUGAUCUCAUCAUGCACCUGUUCACCAAGUAGUAGGCAGUGUUGACCACUUCAGCCCAGAAGUUCUUUGCAAUUCCACUAUCGAUUAGCAUUAUUCUUUCCAUCUCUUCCUGAGUUCUAUUCUUCCUUUCUACUACUUUAUUUUUCUUGGGAGUUUUGGAGCUGAGAACUUGUAGGUUAUGCCAUUUUUAUUGCAAAACUCAUCAAAUUUGGCAUUCUCAAAUUUUGUUCCGUUGUAUGAUCUAAUGCAUGCGACUUUAGACUCCAUAUUUACUCGAAUUUUCUUCACAAAAGAUAAAAACACCUCAGGGGUUUCAUCUUUAUUUCUAAGAAACAGAUUCCAUGUGAAUCUGGAUUAGUCAUCCACUAUCACAAAAAUGUAUCUUUUUCCUCUUCUGCUUUGAACUCUCAUAGGAUUACAUAGGCCCAUAUGCAAAAGCUCUAGUGGCUUUGAGGCGCUCACAUCUCUUUUAGACAUAAAAGAGGACUUCACAUGUUUUCCUCUAGCACAGGCAUCACAAACCUUUUGCACCUUGAAUUUUUGAUAUGGGCUGAGCAUGGACCAGGUCCUUCUGAAUUAGUUUGUUUAGAAGAGAAAAUCUUGCAUGGUCCAGUCUUCUGUGCCAUAGUUCAGAAUCAUCAUCAAUAGCUUUGAGACAACUCAAAUCACUACUUUGUAAGGACUCGAAAUCAUCAACAUAGAUGUUGUUGUAUAUUUUGGCCACAAGUACCACUUCACCAGUUGCAGAUCAGUAACUGUACAUAUUUUAGACAUGAAUUCCACCUUGUUUUCCUUUAUCUCAAAUCUGAGAAACACUUAAGAGACUGUACUUAAUGCUAUUAACAUAGUAUACAUUCCUAAUAGAAUGAGUGACUGACUUUUCGACUUUUCCAACUCCAUGAAUGUACCCCUUUUUCCAUUGCCAAAAGAUACACUUCCUCCUUGUCGGGAUUUUAGUGAAAGAAAGUCCAUGGUGUUCCCAGUUAUGUGCUUUGAACACCCACUAUCCAUGAGCGAUAAUUGACCGCUUCCUUUCACCGUUCCCUGCACAAGAACAUCAGGAGUUAGUCUUAGGAACCCAAGCAAGUUUGGGUCCCUUGUAGUAGGCAAGAGGAUGAAUAAGAGCUCUCUUAUUCCAUGCAGGUAAUAUGAACUUUUUGUGAGUGGAACCUGGUCCCUCUUUGGUAGUCACUUUUUCAGCAAACACUUUGUUUUUCUAAACAGAUUGAACCAUGGCCUGGCAAUUUUCCUUGACGUGCCAAUUAUUCCUAUAGUGGGCAUAAAGCUAGUUAUCAGAAACAAUGACGUACUUGAUGUGAGGGUUGUAAGGAGUUUUCUACCUUUGGAACCCUAUUCCCUGCACGUUUCCACAAUUAUUAGUAUGGCAGUGGCAGCUUCUGAGGACCAAGUCAACUUUAGGAACUUUUCAAGAUCAUUCUUUACUCUUGAAAGAUCAAUUUGAAGGUGCUUGUUUUUCUCAGUUUCAAAAGACAUCCUAGUUCUCAUAGCUUUCAACUCAUUUUCAAGCCUAAUAUGUUCCUCACUGGCUAUUCUAUUCCUUUUCUAGAAUUUCCAGGUUUUGACUUAGUUCCCGGUCUCUCUAUUAUUUCUCUUAGGUCUGAAAUUACUGCUAAGAGAUCCUUUUUUUCUUAUCUGAGGUUUACAUUAGUUUCCUUAUGGUCAAUAACUACAGCCACUUAGUUAUUUCUAGUUUGUUCAAAUUCUCCUAGUUCUAAGGUCAAGGAAUCACUAUCCUCCAUAAAACUAUGAUAGGCAUCAAUCAAUACACUAACUAAAGACAUGAGUUUUUUAGGAGAGUAGGAUUUUAGAUUUCUCUGACCAUCCCUGAAAUUUACCUCUUUAUUAUCAUCGUCUAAUUAGGCCAUCAAAGCAAAGGUUGAGUCACAUUCAUUUUCCUCGCCUUCAAUUGCCAUCAUGGAACUAUCACCAGUAUCGGUUUCAUGUUCAGACUCACUAGAGGAAUCCCCUCAUGGUUCAAGAGCCUGUUUCACCAUAUUGUCACCAAAUCUCUUUCUCUUAAAGUCCUUGAAGGUACCGGGUUCCUCUUAGAUGUUUUCUUAGGGUUGUUCUUGGAAACGUCUCACUUCAAGAGAGGCCAGUCUUUCAUAAAGUGUCCAGGUUUUCCACACUUAUGAAAAAAAUCAUAGUUUUUUGGUUUGCUAGAGAUGUCCUUUUUAGCAUUUCUCUAUUUAUUCAGACCAUCUUCUAAAAUCUUUUGGUUAAGUAAGACAUUUCAAUGUCUUCCUCACUUGAGUCACUGUUAUCGGCUUUGAGUACCAGGUUUUUUUCUCUCUUUGGUUCUCUUCUUUCAUUAUCGAUCUUCCUCUUCAUCUCGUAAGUCUUCAUAUUUCCAACCAGCUCUUCUUUGGUUAACUCUUGUUAGUCCUUUGAUUCAGUAAUAGCAUUCAUCUUUCUUUCCCAAGGGCUAGGCAGAAUACUGAGGAUUUUCCUCACUAGCUUUUUUAGGAAUAGUUUCACCAAGUGAGUGUAACUCAUAUAUGAUAGAGGUGAAUCUUGUGUGCAUAUUUUGAAUGGAUUCAUCGUCCUUCAUCCUGAAGAUUUCAUACUCGGUUGUGAGCAUAUCGAUUUUAGACUGUUUUACUUGGUUGGUUCCUUUAUGAGCUGUUUGCAAAGCUUCCUAUAUUUCCUUAGCAGUGUUGCAGGCGGGGAUUCUUUUAUAUUCUUUAGGUCCUAUUCCACAUACCUGAAUCUUCUUGGCACGAAAAUUCUUCUCCACAACUUUCCUGUCUACAUUGGUGUAUUCUUUACUGGUUUUUGCCGUUGACAAUGUAAAUUCUUCCAGCACUUUUGUUGGAACAUAAGGAGCGUCACAUAUGAUAUCCCAUAACUUAGAAUUCUCAGCCAUGAUAAAAUCAUACAUUCUUGUUUUCCACCAUCCAUAGUAUUGUCCAUUAAAGCUGGGUGGUUGGUAUGUAGAUUGUGUUGCGCCCCAUUUUUUCUCGCAAAAUCGGGUUUAUAAAAUUUGGGAGGACAACCCAUUCCUUUUGGGAAUUGGGUUUGAUUUGAAGAGUUGCCACCUAAUGAUUAGGGUGCACUAGGACACCAAGAAAGCUGUGAUUUGAGUAACCGGAGAUUAGGUAAGGGCUUAAAAUUAUUCUAAGGAGAAGGUAUUCGACACCCCUCAAAAUCCACUAGUGUGGUUCCCAGCCAGACUAUUAUAGUGAAUUUAGGUGAAAGUAGCAUGUAGGCAAAUAAAGCUUCAAAUAAUAGGGGAUUUUCACAUAAUGGUUUACAAAUAACAAAGUUGAAAAGAGCUAAAAGAAAGCUGAUUUUUCUUAAAAGAAAGAGUUUGAAAUUUUGAAAUAAACAAAGAAAUAAAGGAAAAUGGGGUCCUAGGUUUAUUAACACUAUGGAUCACCCCCACACAAUGCACGGUAAUUUCUCCUCAAUGAGGGGCUACAUGUGACAUUAUCACGUGGUCAUCAUAUUCAUAUCUACCCCUUCCCACCAUGUUAAGGUAUUAAAGUGCAGAAUGAUCUCGUUUACUUAUUGGAUGCUAUUACCCGUCCUAAUCCUACCAGUCCCGGAGGCAUUUAGGACUAGUAAUCCUAAAAAGGAGAGAUAUUUGGCUUAUUUAUAGUUUCAAAGGUAAAAACUCUAAGGCGACAUACAAAACACAUAAUGCAAGUUAGGGAAAGCACAUAGCAAGCAAAGGCUCAGAUAUACCCCCUUCAACUAAAGAAGCAAGUAAUUAGCAUGUCUUAAACAUACUGUUUAGUGUCUAACUAAAUACUAAACAUGAAAGAGCUUAAAGGUUGGGCACGACUAAUUUAUUACAUAAUUCAAAUAAGAAGCCCAAAUCAGGCAUGCCUGCUUGUUAUAGUUAAUGGAAUAGAUUCAAUUUAUAAUUUACCCUAAGGAUUGU
RNAcentral lists this long non-coding RNA (21488 nucleotides) under Nicotiana benthamiana. RNAcentral describes it as "long non-coding RNA (NBEN_LNC024659)". The record is from RNAcentral. Lineage: Eukaryota; Viridiplantae; Streptophyta; Magnoliopsida; Solanales; Solanaceae.